GGGAUUAGAUACCCCACUAUGCCUAGCCGUAAACACAAAUAUUUAAUAACAAAAAUUUCGCCCGAGAACUACUAGCAACAGCUUAAAACUCAAAGGACUUGGCGGUGCUUUAAACCCAUCUAGAGGAGCCUGUUCUAUAAUCGAUAAACCCCGAUAAACCUCACCACUUCUUGCCAACUCAGCUUAUAUACCGCCAUCUUCAGCAAACCCCACCAGGGAUUAUAAGUAAGCACAAUUAUUCUCGUAAAAACGUUAGGUCAAGGUGUAGCCAAUGAAGUGGAAAGAAAUGGGCUACAUUUUCUCCCUAGAGAACAAUAGACGAUAAUCUCUAUGAAACCCAGAGAUCCAAGGAGGAUUUAGCAGUAAAUUAAGAAUAGAGAGCUUAAUUG
This 389-nucleotide ribosomal RNA is filed under the name Mesomys sp. Its description in RNAcentral is "partial 12S ribosomal RNA". It matches the Rfam family "Bacterial small subunit ribosomal RNA", at positions 774 to 1364 of the family's 1533-position model. The record is from RNAcentral. Lineage: Eukaryota; Metazoa; Chordata; Mammalia; Rodentia; Echimyidae.